UAUUAUACCAUGGUGUCAGUGUGUCACUGUGUGUCACGCUGGUCUGAGAAAGACAGAGGAAGACGCCAUUGUUAUCUUGUGAUGUUUAGUUGUAAUCUCCAUUCUCCUUUGGACUACGUCAGUGACCGAAUAUGGGAUUUUUGCAAGAUUUUGUAUCGACGUUCAUCCCACUCCUCAAAGUUGUUUAGCGUUUAGCUGACCGAGAACUGCAUCCCAAGUCAGAUUUCCAGUAUGCAGGUUUCAUGCAAAGCGAAAGCACGAUUAUUGUCAUCUUGAUGCCAAUGAAUAUGCUGUGUGAUGAAUCAUAUAGUGUGAAAAUGCUAGUAGCCUAGCCGUACGGUGAUUCACAGUUAUACAUCAGCAAAUCAGUUGCCAUCGCCGUGGAGAUAGAUCGAAUGGUUUGAUGGUUCCUGUGUCGGCGCUUUGCGAAGGGAAGCAAGAGUCAAUCUACGAGUACAUGUGCCCCAAUUGUGAGCCGUUAGGAGUCCAAAAGCUACGAAAGGCACUCGUGUCUACGAGGAACUACACGAUUUUCUACAGCAGUUGCAACCCCCAACCCACCCACAAGAGCUCCUAGCCGUUCCUUGAGCCCGUCGAUGUUCAACAAGUCGCCGACUUAUCAGAUCAUCAAGGAUCCUAUGGAAUUACAAAUGGUUCGAGACCAAUAUUAUAGAGAGACGGCCUACAAAUGAGUGAAUGACAGAAUUUAUUGGCGACACCAACGAUUUCGCGUUUCAUUUAAAAGUUGUUGACGGUUUUAGAUCCUGACUGAAAACAUGGGUACGUUGGUGCGAGUCGGUAAGAGUGGUGAAAUACCAGUGGUGAAGCAAGAAGAGAAUUAACAAAUUGCUUUGAUCUUUUGUCUGUUUUAUAAGCAAUUCCUGGAAUAGUUAUGUUGACUGUAAAGUGUGUGUGACGUAGAGAGAAAAUCUUCUGGCAUGCAACGGGAAAGUGCUAUGAUCAAUGAAUCAGUAGUAUGUUUGAGGGAAUACUUCUACAUCACGAGAUAUUUGAAAAAAGUACGACAAUUUAUCAUAAUAAUUAAACUUCUGCGUAUGCUGCAAAACUCAACGCGGGAAUAUUAAGUUACGAUGGAAUUUCUCUUAAAUUUAACAACGUACGAAGCUUUAUUAACUCUUAACUGGAAUCUCACCGUGUACGCACUUGUCAUUUUUUUAAUGUUAUCAGAAGAAAAAAAUAAGGUUACGGUAACAUAAGUUAUUUAAACGUAUGCUAUUUGUCAGACUUCAUUUAAUAGAAAAUACAAACAAAAACAAAGAUGAAUAGAAUUGUGUUAUAUUGUCCCGCCUCUACCCACAAUUCCUCCACUUUAUACAUACAUACACAUAUACAUAUACAAUUAUACGUACACUAAGUUAACCCGUUGGCUGCCACGCCA
Molecule: long non-coding RNA, 1399 nt
Organism: Daphnia pulicaria
Lineage: Eukaryota; Metazoa; Arthropoda; Branchiopoda; Diplostraca; Daphniidae
Exons: 5
Source: RefSeq, a predicted model, not a curated record